UGCACCUACGGGAGGCAGCAGUGAGGUUUAUUGGUUUUUGGGCGCGCGCCUGAACCAGCCAAGUCGCGUGAGGGAAGACGGUCCUAUGGAUUGUAAACCUCUUUUGUCGGGGAGCAAAAGACGCCACGCGUGGCGUUCCGAGAGUACCCGAAGAAAAAGCAUCGGCUAACUCCGUGCCAGCAGCCGCGGUAAUACGGAGGAUGCGAGCGUUAUCCGGAUUUAUUGGGUUUAAAGGGUGCGCAGGCGGAAGAUCAAGUCAGCGGUAAAAUUGAGAGGCUCAACCUCUUCGAGCCGUUGAAACUGGU
Molecule: ribosomal RNA, 305 nt
Filed under: uncultured bacterium
Lineage: Bacteria
Description: bacterial SSU rRNA
Rfam family: Bacterial small subunit ribosomal RNA
Source: RNAcentral